UGCAGUCGAGGGGUAUGCCGAUUUAUCGGCAGAGACCGGCGCACGGGUGCGUAACGCGUAUGCAAUCUACCUUUUACAGAGGGAUAGCCCAGAGAAAUUUGGAUUAAUACCUCAUAGUAUAGUGACUCGGCAUCGAGAUACUAUUAAAGUCACAACGGUAAAAGAUGAGCAUGCGUCCCAUUAGCUAGUUGGUAAGGUAACGGCUUACCAAGGCUACGAUGGGUAGGGGUCCUGAGAGGGAGAUCCCCCACACUGGUACUGAGACACGGACCAGACUCCUACGGGAGGCAGCAGUGAGGAAUAUUGGACAAUGGGCGCAAGCCUGAUCCAGCCAUGCCGCGUGCAGGAUGACGGUCCUAUGGAUUGUAAACUGCUUUUGUACGAGAAGAAACACUCCGACGUGUCGAAGCUUGACGGUAUCGUAAGAAUAAGGAUCGGCUAACUCCGUGCCAGCAGCCGCGGUAAUACGGAGGAUCCAAGCGUUAUCCGGAAUCAUUGGGUUUAAAGGGUCCGUAGGCGGUUUAGUAAGUCAGUGGUGAAAGCCCAUCGCUCAACGGUGGAACGGCCAUUGAUACUGCUAAACUUGAAUUAUUAGGAAGUAACUAGAAUAUGUAGUGUAGCGGUGAAAUGCUUAGAGAUUACAUGGAAUACCAAUUGCGAAGGCAGGUUACUACUAAUGGAUUGACGCUGAUGGACGAAAGCGUGGGUAGCGAACAGGAUUAGAUACCCUGGUAGUCCACGCCGUAA
Molecule: ribosomal RNA, 747 nt
Filed under: Flavobacterium sp. Iso-8
Lineage: Bacteria; Pseudomonadati; Bacteroidota; Flavobacteriia; Flavobacteriales; Flavobacteriaceae
Description: bacterial SSU rRNA
Rfam family: Bacterial small subunit ribosomal RNA
Source: RNAcentral